Molecule: ribosomal RNA, 76 nt
Filed under: Streptomyces rubellomurinus subsp. indigoferus
Lineage: Bacteria; Bacillati; Actinomycetota; Actinomycetes; Kitasatosporales; Streptomycetaceae
Description: partial 16S ribosomal RNA
Rfam family: Bacterial small subunit ribosomal RNA (bases 1-66)
Source: RNAcentral
CCAGCGAUUGGGACGAAGUCGUAACAAGGUAGCCGUACCGGAAGGUGCGGCUGGAUCACCUCCUUUCUAAGGAGCA